GCAUGAUCCAUAGCCAGUGGCGGCUCGUGGGCCUAAGAGGCAGGGGUUCACAAAAUUAAAAAAUCCAAUGAUUUUAUUGAAUGAGAAAGGUUCACGAAUUUACAUAAUUGUUCACCAUUCUGUACAGUGUUUGAAAAUGAAAUCCAUUCUUCUUUCCUUCUUUGCAGCGAACUUAUCUAUAACCACAUCGUUAA
Coccinella septempunctata (seven-spotted ladybird) is the source of this 194-nucleotide long non-coding RNA. RefSeq lists it as uncharacterized. The record is from RefSeq and is a predicted model, not a curated record. Lineage: Eukaryota; Metazoa; Arthropoda; Insecta; Coleoptera; Coccinellidae. The transcript has 3 exons.